Molecule: ribosomal RNA, 381 nt
Filed under: uncultured bacterium
Lineage: Bacteria
Description: bacterial SSU rRNA
Rfam family: Bacterial small subunit ribosomal RNA
Source: RNAcentral
ACGAACGCUGGCGGCGUGCUUAACACAUGCAAGUCGAGCGGUAAGGCCCUUCGGGUACGACGAGCGGCGAACGGGUGAGUAACACGUGGGUAACCUGCCCUGUACUUUGGGUAGUAAGCCUGGGAAACGUGGGUCUAAUACCGAAUAUGACUUCAUCACGCAUGUGGUGGGGUGGAAAGUUCUGGCGGUACAGGAUGGGCCCGCGGCCUAUCAGCUUGUUGGUGGGGUGAUGGCCUACCAAGGCGACGACGGGCAGCCGGCCUGAGAGGGCGACCGGCCACACUGGGACUGAGACACGGCCCAGACUCCUACGGGAGGCAGCAGUGGGGAAUCUUGCGCAAUGGGCGAAAGCCUGACGCAGCGACGCCGCGUGAGGAUGAC